This 472-nucleotide unclassified non-coding RNA is filed under the name Penicillium rolfsii. RNAcentral describes it as "partial contains ITS1, 5.8S rRNA and ITS2". The stretch from base 152 to 305 matches the Rfam family "5.8S ribosomal RNA". Lineage: Eukaryota; Fungi; Ascomycota; Eurotiomycetes; Eurotiales; Aspergillaceae. The record is from RNAcentral.
UACCUCCCACCCGUGUUUAUCGUACCUUGUUGCUUCGGCGAGCCCGCCUCACGGCCGCCGGGGGGCAUCCGCCCCCGGGCCCGCGCUCGCCGAAGACACCAUUGAACUCUGUCUGAAGAUUGCAGUCUGAGUGAUUAACUAAAUCAGUUAAAACUUUCAACAACGGAUCUCUUGGUUCCGGCAUCGAUGAAGAACGCAGCGAAAUGCGAUAAGUAAUGUGAAUUGCAGAAUUCAGUGAAUCAUCGAGUCUUUGAACGCACAUUGCGCCCCCUGGUAUUCCGGGGGGCAUGCCUGUCCGAGCGUCAUUGCUGCCCUCAAGCACGGCUUGUGUGUUGGGCCCCGCCCCCCGGUUUCGGGGGGCGGACCCGAAAGGCAGCGGCGGCACCGCGUCCGGUCCUCGAGCGUAUGGGGCUUCGUCACCCGCUCUGUAGGCCCGGCCGGCGCCCGCCGGCGACAACAAUCAAUCUAUCCA